GUGGGGAAUCUUCCGCAAUGGGCGAAAGCCUGACGGAGCAACGCCGCGUGAGUGAUGACGGCCUUCGGGUUGUAAAGCUCUGUUAUAUGGGACGAACGGGCAUGGGGCCAAUACCCUCAUGCAGUGACGGUACCGUAAGAGAAAGCCACGGCUAACUACGUGCCAGCAGCCGCGGUAAUACGUAGGUGGCAAGCGUUGUCCGGAAUUAUUGGGCGUAAAGGGCGUGUAGGCGGCCAGACAAGUCUGUCUUAAAAGUGCGGGGCUCAACCCCGUGAUGGGAUGGAAACUGUCGGGCUAGAGUGUCGGAGAGGAAAGCGGAAUUCCUAGUGUAGCGGUGAAAUGCGUAGAUAUUAGGAGGAACACCAGUGGCGAAAGCGGCUUUCUGGACGACAACUGACGCUGAGGCGCGAAAGCCAGGGGAGCAAACGGGAUUAGAUACCCGUGUAGUCC
RNAcentral lists this ribosomal RNA (450 nucleotides) under uncultured bacterium. RNAcentral's name for it is "partial 16S ribosomal RNA". It matches the Rfam family "Bacterial small subunit ribosomal RNA", at positions 354 to 796 of the family's 1533-position model. The record is from RNAcentral.